Molecule: ribosomal RNA, 327 nt
Filed under: uncultured eukaryote
Lineage: Eukaryota
Description: partial 18S ribosomal RNA
Rfam family: Eukaryotic small subunit ribosomal RNA
Source: RNAcentral
CCCUUAGAUGUUCUGGGCCACGCGCGCGUUACACUGAUGAAGCCAGCGAGUAUAUCGCCUUCACCGGAAGGUGCGGGUAAUCUUGUGAAACUUCAUCGUGCUGGGGAUAGACCAUUGCAAUUAUUGGUCUUGAACGAGGAAUUCCUAGUAAGCAUGAGUCAUCAACUCGUGCUGAUUACGUCCCUGCCCUUUGUACACACCGCCCGUCGCUACUACCGAUUGAAUGGUUUAGUGAGAUCUCGGGAUUGGAGACGUUGCGCCGCAAGGCACAUCGUCCUCGAGAACUUGAUCAAACUUGAUCAUUUAGAGGAAGUAAAAGUCGUAACA